GAUGUGGCUGUAGCUCAGUGGAAGAGCAUUUGCUUCACAUGCAGAAGGUCCCAGGUUCCAUUCCUGGCAGCAUCU
Molecule: non-coding RNA, 75 nt
Organism: Hemicordylus capensis (graceful crag lizard)
Lineage: Eukaryota; Metazoa; Chordata; Lepidosauria; Squamata; Cordylidae
Source: the annotation of a RefSeq genome assembly